GCGGAGGUGGCAGAGCCUGGUCAAAUGCGCUACCUCGAGGGGGUAGUCCCUUAGUGGGUACGAGGGUUCAAAUCCCUUCCUCCGCA
Molecule: transfer RNA, 86 nt
Filed under: Candidatus Woesearchaeota archaeon
Lineage: Archaea; Nanobdellati; Candidatus Woesearchaeota
Description: tRNA-Leu
Rfam family: tRNA
About the family: Transfer RNA (tRNA) molecules are approximately 80 nucleotides in length.
Source: RNAcentral